AUACCAAUGACUACAUAAUGGAUGAAUGAACUUCAAUGAAACGAACUGACGAAGGAAUCGAGCAACACGGGGAGCAAUCGAAACUCAACGACUAUGUAGAAUAUAUUUCGUUUUUCUUCUUCUUCUUCUUCCCUCAAAAUAAGAAGGUUUUGAACCUGCCAUUGAAGGUUUUGAUGAUAUAAAAAUAGACAGGAGUUUGCUCAGAAAGAUUCUUAUCAGCAAGAAUCAAAAUCCCGAAAGGUCCAAGAGCACCCCUUUGAGUAGCUCCCUUGCUGUCUGGGCAGCUAUACUCUUCUCCCGAAAAGGGUAAACUUUCCAAUGCCUCUUUUUCAAUCUCAAAUUCUGCUGUUAUAUCUAUCUGCAUGUGGAAUUACCAAAGCAAGAGAUUAAUUACUAGUUAAUAGCAAGUCUAUGAUUUUCUCUAAGGUUCUGUUUGGUUUGGUGUAGAACGUUUUCAAUGCAAAAUGAUUUUCCACGGAAAACAUUUUCCAAGGGAGAAACUAGGAAAUUCUUUUCAAAAUGAUUGAAAAGAGGAAAUUGUUUUUAAUGAAAACGUUUUACACCCUACCAAACGGAGACUAAUUGGUUCCUCAAUUAAGUGAGUUAUCACAAAAAGGUUAAUUAGAGAACGAGUUGCGACCUCUGUGGCUGCGCGAACAUCCAAUGGCACAACAGAUCCUGCAGGAACUACAACCUUGUCAAACUCCUUGCUGUUGUGUCUUAGGUUUUCUACUUCCUCCACGGGCCAUUGAACUAAGUUGGUUUUAGUUUUUUGGUCAUACAACACGGUUCUUGGAACUCCCUGUUUAUCAUUCAUCAUGCAACGUGUAAAUAAACUUGUCUUAUACUUCGUAUAUAACUCAUUUUUGUAAAAAGAACCAUAGAAAAAUUACAGAAAGAAUGAUUUAUGUUUAAGUACCUGAAGAGAUGCCCAUCCUUUCCUAACAUCAGCUGCUUCACUGUCACCUUCAGUGACCCAACCCCACAAGAUCCUUCUCUUCUUUUCUUGAUCAUAAAAUGUUUUGGAAGCAUAAAACUUGCCAUAAUCAUACCUUAAUCCAAUACCAACAUCAAUGGCAGCAUUAUCAGGGAUCCAUGUACCAUUAGCCUCAUUGUAGGUUCCAAUUGCGUAGUAAUCAUUCCUAUUAUCAUCCAUGCUUGCUUUGAGUACAUGCUUCACUAAUGGACCGUUAAUGGACGUAUCAAGCCCGUUUGACUCAGACACCGAGACUGGAAAAAAGUCAACACACUCCCACAUACCAGUGGUUGGUACAGCAUGUAGGAUGUUGUCCAAAAGCUCAAAGUUCUUGAAAUCAGUGGUUUCAUACACAAGAGAAAUCCCUGUUUUGUUGAUUUUAGACCCAAUUGUAAUCCUCCAUUUACCUUCAGAGGUCAACCACGCAGUUGUAGGGUCACGGAAAUCUAAUUUGUGAAUUCCUGGAGGUGGCACGAGGACUGGGUUAUCGGGGUACUUGACCCAUUCCCUGAGAAGUGGGUCAGAUAAGUUAGCCGGAUAAGCUAGAUUUUGGACUUGGACUGACUCGUUGGUUGAACCAGUGUAGAGCAUUACGAUUUGACCAUCAGGUAAGAUAGUGGCUGAGCCAGUCCACACGCCGUUGAAGUCAUACCAUCGAUCUGCAACCAUGGCUAUGGGAAGGUCCAUCCAUUUUAUGAGGUCCUUGGAAACAGCAUGUGCCCAUACAAUGUUGCCCCAGACUGCACCUGCAGGGUUGUACUGGUAGAAGAAGUGGUACCAACCAUUGUAGUAUAAUGGACCUGUUUUAUAGUGACAAAGCAUCAUCAGAUUUGGGAUUCAUUUUCCUCUUUAAAUUUGUAAUUAUGUUCAUGAAUGAAAGUAAUGAAACUCAUGCAACUACUUCUUACUCAUUAUCUGUAAUGAAAGUCAUACAAAAGCCAUACCUUUUGUAUGUUGAAUAAUUUUUUUGGUAGAUGAAGUAUGACACUACUGUCAUAUUCUGCUCAA
Spinacia oleracea (spinach) is the source of this 1984-nucleotide long non-coding RNA. RefSeq lists it as uncharacterized. The record is from RefSeq and is a predicted model, not a curated record. The transcript is spliced from 2 exons. Lineage: Eukaryota; Viridiplantae; Streptophyta; Magnoliopsida; Caryophyllales; Amaranthaceae.